RNAcentral lists this ribosomal RNA (450 nucleotides) under uncultured Acholeplasma sp. RNAcentral's name for it is "bacterial SSU rRNA". It matches the Rfam family "Bacterial small subunit ribosomal RNA", at positions 927 to 1382 of the family's 1533-position model. The record is from RNAcentral. Lineage: Bacteria; Bacillati; Mycoplasmatota; Mollicutes; Acholeplasmatales; Acholeplasmataceae.
AAGCGGUGGAUCAUGUUGUUAAUUCGACGAUACGCGAAGAACCUUACCAGGUCUUGACCAUCCCCUGCAAAGCUAUGGAGACAUAGUGGAGGUUAUCAGGGAGACAGGUGGUGCAUGGUUGUCGUCAGCUCGUGUCGUGAGAUGUUGGGUUAAGUCCCGCAACGAGCGCAACCCUUAUUGCUAGUUACCAUCAUUAAGUUGGGGACUCUAGCGAGACUGCCAGUGAUAAACUGGAGGAAGGUGGGGAUGACGUCAAAUCAUCAUGCCCCUUAUGACCUGGGCUACAAACGUGAUACAAUGGCUGAAACAAAGGGCAGCGAAGGAGCGAUCUGGAGCGAAACCCAAAAAAGCAGUCUCAGUUCGGAUUGAAGUCUGCAACUCGACUUCAUGAAGUCGGAAUCGCUAGUAAUCGCGGAUCAGAACGCCGCGGUGAAUACGUUCUCGGGGUUU